CGGUUCGUAGUUUAAUUGGCAAAACAUAGUUCUCAUGAAGCUAGUGUUGCAGGUUCAAUUCCUGCCGGACUGA
Molecule: transfer RNA, 73 nt
Filed under: Turbinaria ornata
Lineage: Eukaryota; Phaeophyceae; Fucales; Sargassaceae
Description: tRNA-Met
Rfam family: tRNA
About the family: Transfer RNA (tRNA) molecules are approximately 80 nucleotides in length. Their secondary structure includes four short double-helical elements and three loops (D, anti-codon, and T loops).
Source: RNAcentral